Long non-coding RNA from Alosa sapidissima (American shad), 390 nucleotides. RefSeq lists it as uncharacterized. The record is from RefSeq and is a predicted model, not a curated record. The transcript has 2 exons. Lineage: Eukaryota; Metazoa; Chordata; Actinopteri; Clupeiformes; Clupeidae.
ACAUAAAUACAAAGUUAAGCUCCCAGAUAGCAAGGUGACAUUGAUAUUAUGUUGAUUUUCCAUCCAAAUCAUCAUUUUGAAAAGAUAUUGAAAAGUCAUGGAUUUAUGGUUUACUGGGAAAUUUUGAUGUGGUGAUUGAAACGUGCACCGCGCGACGAUGUUUGAACUGUCCGGCGGCGGGAGAUCAUUUUUGAGCAACAGUUCAGUCAGAGUCAGACCAACGGUGUUCAGCACUCUGUCAAGUUCGCAGCUCCACCUUAAUGGUGCUGCUUCACUCUGCUACUGGUGGUGGAUCAGGCUGACUGCAACCGUUGGUCUAACGUUAGGAUGCAGCACACGAAAUUUUCUAAACGGAAAAAAGUGAAUAAAUGUACUUGCUUUUCAAACUGA